This 326-nucleotide ribosomal RNA is filed under the name uncultured eukaryote. Its description in RNAcentral is "partial 18S ribosomal RNA". It matches the Rfam family "Eukaryotic small subunit ribosomal RNA", at positions 1470 to 1796 of the family's 1831-position model. The record is from RNAcentral.
CCCCUAGACGUUCUGGGCUGCACGCGCGCUACAAUAAUACGCACAGCGAGUAUCACCGAGCUCGAAAGGGCAAGGUAAACAAUAGAAAAGGUACUGUAAUGGUUAUAGAUCCUUGUAAUUAUUGAUCUUCAACGAGGAAUUCCUAGUAAGUAUGUGUCAUCAUCACGCACUGAUUACGUCCCUGCCCUUUGUACACACCGCCCGUCGCACCUACCGAUUGGAUGGUCCGGUGAAGCCUCGGGAUUGUGGUUCUUGCCGCUUUAUUGUGGCGUGACCGCGAGAACUUGUCUAAACCUUAUCAUCUAGAGGAAGGUGAAGUCGUAACA